Molecule: non-coding RNA, 29 nt
Filed under: Rattus norvegicus (Norway rat)
Lineage: Eukaryota; Metazoa; Chordata; Mammalia; Rodentia; Muridae
Source: RNAcentral
UACCAAUGAGAGGCUUAUAUUUAACAGGU